This 490-nucleotide long non-coding RNA is filed under the name Arabidopsis lyrata. RNAcentral describes it as "long non-coding RNA (ALYR_LNC002713)". Lineage: Eukaryota; Viridiplantae; Streptophyta; Magnoliopsida; Brassicales; Brassicaceae. The record is from RNAcentral.
AAUUGAGAGAUUAUCAGCUCAAGAUCGUCUCAAGCCCGAGGAGUUUAUUACCAAGGUAUUGUUAAACCUAGUGAUUUAACUCUUUUUAUUAUUGCUAAAUGAAGCGUUUCAUUUUCUUCAGCUUAUCAUACGGCACGACGAGCUCGAAAAUGAGAAACAAGAGAUUAGGCAAAGGAUCAUAGAACUAGAGAAGCGUCGCCUCGACAUUGCUCGCGAGCUUCAUCGCCUCGAAUCCCAUCCUUCCGAUUGGAUCGAACUAGGACUUCAGGAGUACGGAAACAUGCCAGGUUGUAUUAUGAGCAUCGUUGACCUCGCAGGUCAAGGAGCAAAGUUAUUCCGUAACUCAAGACCCUUCGAGAUCUGGUUCUAGCUUAUCUAGAAAUAUUUAUACAUUGUUCGCAAUGUAUUUCUAUAUUCAUGCUCGAAUAUUGAAUUUAUAAAAACAAGACUCCAUGAUUGGAAUAAUAUUUUUAUUUUUAUGUUAUAGCUG